This 16-nucleotide ribosomal RNA is filed under the name Phytophthora drechsleri. Its description in RNAcentral is "28S ribosomal RNA". RNAcentral also lists the same sequence under 1 other name. The record is from RNAcentral. Lineage: Eukaryota; Oomycota; Peronosporomycetes; Peronosporales; Peronosporaceae.
AUUGGACCUGAUAUCA